CAGUAGCCGCGGUAAUACGUAGGGUGCAAGCGUUAAUCGGAAUUACUGGGCGUAAAGCGUGCGCAGGCGGUGUUGUAAGACUGAUGUGAAAUCCCCGGGCUCAACCUGGGAACUGCAUUGGUGACUGCAACGCUGGAGUGCGGCAGAGGGGGAUGGAAUUCCGCGUGUAGCAGUGAAAUGCGUAGAUAUGCGGAGGAACACCGAUGACGAAGGCAAUCCCCUGGGCCUGCACUGACGCUCAUGCACGAAAGCGUGGGGAGCAAACAGGAUUAGAUACCCCCGUAGUCCCUGUCUCUUAUAC
This 301-nucleotide ribosomal RNA is filed under the name uncultured bacterium. RNAcentral describes it as "partial 16S ribosomal RNA". It matches the Rfam family "Bacterial small subunit ribosomal RNA", at positions 509 to 807 of the family's 1533-position model. The record is from RNAcentral.